UAUCUAUUUCGGCACUUGUAUCUGUAUCCACAAAUUAUAGGCUAACAGUUCUUUUUUUCAGGAUUCAAGUCAUCUGUUUUACUGUGGCAAAACUUCAUUUGUUUAUAAUUUUUAUGACCUUGCUAUAGUUGGUUUUCAGGUUCAAGCCGUCGCAUGGAAUCAUCAUGUGCCACAAGUUCUACUUAGUGGAUCCUUUGAUCAUACAGUAGUGAUGAAGGAUGGAAGGAUACCUUCUCAUACAGGAUUUAAGUGGUCAGUUUCAGCAGAUGUUGAAACUGUAGCAUGGGAUCCACACACUGAGCAUCCAUUUGUGGUCUGUGUUUACACUGUAUCUAUCUUGAGCUAUUUUCAUUUUUUGUUUUCCAAGUAUGCAAAGCACAAGGGAUUUCAUUUUGAAUUGGGAAGACAUCGAGAGUGGCAAUACACAAAUUAUGUCUAUAGAUACCAGUAACCAUAAAAAUACUGGAAAUUUAUUUACUUUUUCGUUUGAUAGAACCUAAAGGUGCAUCUUUAGCUCGAUCUUCUUGCACUACAAAAUAUUAUGUGGGUCGGUUGAAUGAGUUAUUGAUAAAUUAACUUUUUGAUUGUGAAAAGGGGACAAGUGCUUAGUUAAUGUUCAUUUUCACUCAUUUGAUUAGGUAGCCACUAACUGGUCAUUUUUGUGUUGUAAACUGUAAGAUGUGUCCAUAUUAUUGUUUCUUGCAUUGUUUUGGUGGCAUUUCGAGUUGCUUUUUAGGUUAUUUCUAGGUGGAGAAGUGGGAUGUCAUGGCAUAUAGGUCAAUAUUAAGCUGUGUUGGGCCAAGCCAUGCCAUAAGCAAUACCUAUUUUGGAAUCUUGUUCUUUGAGCUAGAAUUUUUUGUUGGUUACCCUGCCAAUUUUAAUAAAUAUAAAUGUCUGCAAAGUAGGUAGUAAUUUUUGGCAUAGAAGAAGCUUUUGUGCGACUUGAUUUAAUGUUGGUUGGUGUUUCAAGUACUUGGUUUAUUCUUUUCAUUUUUUAAUGUUGUUAUGUGCUUUCUUAUGGAAGUCACUGAGCAGACUUUCACUUUGAGUUAUCCUAUAUUGAGGCAAAUGUUGCCAAAUUUCCUAGGUCAGUGUAUUUGAAUUUAAUGUUUAUUCCUAGAUAUACUCUACACUACACAGUUGAUUGAGUGGUGGUCCUAACGAUUUGGAAAAAUCAUGUUGAUUGUUAGCUGACAUGUUAAUUUGCACUUUCUUUCUUUGUUUGGGCCUAUAAACGAAAGACUGGCUGGAUGAUGGGUCUGUUGCUGUUAUUUUUAUUGUGUAUCAUUAGUGGUGGUAAUAAGCUUUCUGAAUACUAAAUAGUAACAUCAAUUAAUGCUCCUGUUUGACUUUUGUUCUACUGUUUGCAGUGUUGGACCAAUGGUAGGAUAGAGUAUGAGAUGGAUAUGGUUGAGUCUGCGGUUAAAUCACUCAGGUCAUUGAUGCCUGCAAAGUAAAGGCAUGAAAGGCGAGCUGCUUUUGCACUCUGCCGAACCGAUGUAGUUGCAGAGACUGUCAAAAACCAUGAACUUGAGAUUUCCACUCUUGCCGCUUUAUCAUCUCUAAAGGU
Molecule: long non-coding RNA, 1570 nt
Organism: Camellia sinensis
Lineage: Eukaryota; Viridiplantae; Streptophyta; Magnoliopsida; Ericales; Theaceae
Source: RefSeq, a predicted model, not a curated record